Molecule: microRNA precursor, 137 nt
Filed under: Sorghum bicolor (sorghum)
Lineage: Eukaryota; Viridiplantae; Streptophyta; Magnoliopsida; Poales; Poaceae
Description: miR5568f stem-loop (sbi-MIR5568f)
Source: miRBase by way of RNAcentral
GUAUUACUCCAUCCAUUCCAAAUUGUAAGAUGUUUUGGCUUUUCCAGAUAUACACUAUGUCUAGAUACAUAGUAAAAGAAAUGUAUCUAGAAAAACUCAAAUGUCUUAUAAUUUGGAAUGGAGAGAGUAGCUUGUAC